Molecule: ribosomal RNA, 253 nt
Filed under: uncultured bacterium
Lineage: Bacteria
Description: partial 16S ribosomal RNA
Rfam family: Bacterial small subunit ribosomal RNA
Source: RNAcentral
GACAGAGGGUGCAAACGUUGUUCGGAUUUACUGGGCGUAAAGCGCGUGUAGGCGGCUUUGCAAGUCGGAUGUGAAAGCCCACGGCUCAACCGUGGAAGUGCAUCCGAAACUGCAUGGCUGGAGUCUCGGAGAGGAAGGUGGAAUGCUUGGUGUAGAGGUGAAAUUCGUAGAUAUCAAGCAGAACACCUGCGGCGAAGGCGGCCUUCUGGUCCAGUACUGACACUCAAGUGCGAAAGCGUGGGGAGCAAACAGG